GCAGAAGGCUGCAAGACCAUUCUUCUAGAGUCAAAACAGCGUCAUGCAAGUGAGCACGAGAACCGCUAGUGGGAGGUGGGCCGAGCUGAUGCGCUUUUGCUCUGAAAAGUGUGCUGACCCUGCCUCUCAAUAUCAUCCGAGCAAAGGAGGAGGACUGUCCAUCUCACACCUUUUUAAAGAUACAAAUACAUCUGAAAGCUGUUGUUAUACAGUUUAACAAUUUAGUAUCUGGAAGACAGCUU
Molecule: long non-coding RNA, 242 nt
Filed under: Mustela putorius furo (domestic ferret)
Lineage: Eukaryota; Metazoa; Chordata; Mammalia; Carnivora; Mustelidae
Description: lncRNA (ENSMPUG00000029522.1)
Source: RNAcentral